Molecule: transfer RNA, 69 nt
Filed under: Proechimys goeldii
Lineage: Eukaryota; Metazoa; Chordata; Mammalia; Rodentia; Echimyidae
Description: tRNA-Gly
Source: RNAcentral
AUCUUCUUAGUAUAAAUAGUACUACUGACUUCCAAUCAGUGAGACCUAGAUCAAUAGAGGGAGAAGAUA